RNAcentral lists this signal recognition particle RNA (311 nucleotides) under Salinigranum rubrum. RNAcentral describes it as "Halobacteriaceae archaeon GX10 Archaeal signal recognition particle RNA". It matches the Rfam family "Archaeal signal recognition particle RNA". The record is from Rfam by way of RNAcentral. Lineage: Archaea; Methanobacteriati; Methanobacteriota; Halobacteria; Halobacteriales; Haloferacaceae.
UGGUGGACUAGGCCGGGCAGUUAGGCCCUGCUCGUCACCCGUGAAAUAGGUCUUCAGCGGGGGCCGAACCCGGAGGCGUCCGGUCAGACCGACACGGGCCCCGGGAGCCGACGUGGAAGCCUCGUCCGUCGGGGGCAGCGGCCCACGGGCCCCAUCCGCAGGGGUGGUCGUCCGUGGUUCGUCGGUGAAAUCGGGUCAGGCACGGAAGUGAGCAGCCCAUCACCGGACGUGCGCCGCUCGACGGGGUGCGGGGUGGAGGAGGCAACCGGGACUACCCGUGUCGGAACGCCGGGCAAUCCCGUCGUCCACCA